UCUAUAAUGAAUUCAUUAACAGCAAUUGGCAGUUUGCAGUAACUAACAAUCGUUUGACAUUUGUCUCAUUUCAUAUUGUUUUCUUGUAAUUUUGCCGGAGCUGGGAAAACGUAACUCCAGCUCCGGCAUACAAAAUUCUGCUCCGGCGUCGGAAAAACCGCCGGAGCUCCGGCAGAACUCCGGCUCUGGCAACUCCGGCGCACAGCACUA
Molecule: non-coding RNA, 210 nt
Organism: Paramuricea clavata
Lineage: Eukaryota; Metazoa; Cnidaria; Anthozoa; Malacalcyonacea; Plexauridae
Source: the annotation of a GenBank genome assembly